AGCUUUUGUCCCCAAAUCCAUUCAAACAAAAGAAGCUCCGACUCCUCCAAUCCACCCUUCGGACCCGCACCCCGCGGGGACUCUCCAGAUCCGGGUGUCCACUCCCCCGCCAGCCCUACUUACUCCUCAACGCCCCAAUGAGCAGAGAGCCGUCCUUAAUGAGCUCCUUGAUGAACUUGUUGGUUCGCUCCAGCUCAAUCUCGUGACACUGCAAGCGCUCCCUGAAAUCUGGGCUGUCCAAGUAGGAAUCGCUGAACUCCAGAGUGGGCAGCCCCAUGGCACAGGCGCUGCCAGCGGCGGCCGCGGACACGUCCGGGCCGGCGGUUUGGGGAAGGGAGAGGCAGUAAUUCUGUUUGUCAGUUAAUGAAAUGAUAUGACAUAAACAGCAGUGGACUGUGUUUCACCAGAGGUGAUUUUAUAUUUACUCAUUACUCUGCCUGAAAGACAAAAAACCACCCAGGCCAGUUUCCUUUCAACUUUUGCCAUGUUGCUGUUCCUAUCAACUGAAUCCAGGGCCAAACUGCUGAGAUAUGAAACGAUAAAAUAUAACAUUCUCUUCCUGUUUUUCAUUAAAUCAUCGUACUGUGAUUAAGUCUUAAAAAAUGCAUCAUUGGUGUUUCAUAAGUUGCAUUUAACAUGUUGGAUGUCAAUAUUUAGUUUUCUUUAAAAGUCUUACAUGCCAGGGCAGAUGUAUCGUACAUUCUAUGAUAUAGGUUAUCAUUUGCCCAUUCAUGUAUGUAAUUAUAUGUUUUAUGUCUACUGUCUACAUUACUAAGGUCUGGGUGGGGAAGUGAUUUCUAUAAAAAGAUAGAAGCAUUAUCCAUGACCUCAAGCAGUUCUCAGAAAAAGGAAAUGUGGAGAAUAAGUACCCAUAUAGCAUAAGGCAGAAUAUGCUAUGUUCCACAGCCUCACACAGAUGCUGUACUAAUAAUACAUUGAUGCUAUUGUUUAUCAAUAUGUUUCCACUCAGGCCUAUCAUUGCAUUUACAUGGGAUUAGGACUUUUUCUCCUACCCUUCACUCAUGAGUCCCUAAAGUUUAUCAUGUUAUAAUGGGCUUAUUUCUUGUAGGUGUUUUCAUAGUUACUCAUGCCUUAUUCCUGUGAUUCAUACUUUAAUUAUACCUGCUAGUCAGGCUUUCUCUUAUGCCACAUUAACACAGCUACUUGAGAAAAACCAGAAAUACUUUUGCUUUGAGGUGGAUUUACUGUCAGUUUUGAACUGUUGUUUCCAUGCAUUAUUCUCUCCAUCAUAAUUAACCGAACCAGAUUCUUUCCAAGAGAAUAGACUUUCUAUACAAAAGAUCAGCAAUACCUGCAAGCUUGUUUUCAUAAACAAAUGUAAUGGAUUGAAAUAUAGCCUGUCCAGAAAUUUCCACUUCAUAACACAUGACACCAUAAGCUGCGUGGUAAGCUUCGCAAAUAUUAUUGGCUGACAGGCUCUUUGGCACAGAGAAAUGUCUCUGUUUGUUUUCCUGAUUCUGGAAUGGGAUAUGUGGGCUUUGUUUACUUGCUUUUGAGAGCAAAUAGAUAGUAGAGGAUAGUAAACUAAUAUGGCAUUUGUAAAUCUGCCUAAAACUUUUUCUUGACGUAGAUCAUGUCUGACACUUAAGCCUGGCACUUCGUAUGUACUCAGCAAAUGUUAUUGUCAAGCUAUUAUUACUUUUCAAUUAAUUAUGUAGAUUUAGACCACCCAGACUCAGAUAAUCCGAGGUUAAGUUCAAGCCUGGUAAGAGAUGACUAAACAGAAACCAAGUGUUUCUUCUUGGUUUCCCCUCCUCCCAGCUCCUGGUAACCAUUCUACUUUCUAUCUCUAUGAGUUUGACAAUGUAGGUAUCUCAUAUAAAUGAAAUUAUACAAUAUUUGCA
Molecule: long non-coding RNA, 1865 nt
Organism: Nomascus leucogenys (northern white-cheeked gibbon)
Lineage: Eukaryota; Metazoa; Chordata; Mammalia; Primates; Hylobatidae
Exons: 2
Source: RefSeq, a predicted model, not a curated record